AGCAAGCUCUCCAGACCCUUUUGCUGAUUUACCGGCCUUAGGAGCCGGAUGUGAAUUGUAUUUGGAAGAUCCCAUUAAACGUAAAGUUGCACGUGGGACAGUUUACAAGGCCGAAAGGGUUCACGGGAUACAAAUACAUGCGGAUCAAGUGAAGGUCACCGUGACUGAAAUUCUCGUGUCAAGUGUAAAGGUACCCUUCCCUACCGAUGAGGUUCAACUGUUAAGGGAUGCAUUGCACAACUUUAUUAUUUGGCCAAAGAAGUUGGUUGAGUUGUAUACCGAAGCUGAUGAGCUGAUCCGACUUCUUUGAGUCCUCGAUGUCUAA
Ipomoea nil (Japanese morning glory) is the source of this 325-nucleotide long non-coding RNA. RefSeq lists it as uncharacterized. The transcript has 3 exons. The record is from RefSeq and is a predicted model, not a curated record. NCBI's taxonomy places the organism in Eukaryota, Viridiplantae, Streptophyta, Magnoliopsida, Solanales, Convolvulaceae.